GUGAGGAAUAUUGGACAAUGGGCGCAAGCCUGAUCCAGCCAUGUCGCGUGCAGGAAGACGCAUCUAUGGUGUGUAAACUGCUUUUGUACGGGAAGAAACACUCCCUCGUGAGGGAGCUUGACGGUACCGUAAGAAUAAGGAUCGGCUAACUCCGUGCCAGCAGCCGCGGUAAUACGGAGGAUCCAAGCGUUAUCCGGAAUCAUUGGGUUUAAAGGGUCCGUAGGCGGUUUAAUAAGUCAGUGGUGAAAGCCCAUCGCUCAACGAUGGAACGGCCAUUGAUACUGUUAGACUUGAAUUACAAGGAAGUAACUAGAAUAUGUAGUGUAGCGGUGAAAUGCUUAGAUAUUACAUGGAAUACCAAUUGCGAAGGCAGGUUACUACUUGUGGAUUGACGCUGAUGGACGAAAGCGUGGGGAGCGAACAGGAUUAGAAACCCUGGUAGUCC
Molecule: ribosomal RNA, 445 nt
Filed under: uncultured bacterium
Lineage: Bacteria
Description: partial 16S ribosomal RNA
Rfam family: Bacterial small subunit ribosomal RNA
Source: RNAcentral